RNAcentral lists this ribosomal RNA (439 nucleotides) under uncultured bacterium. RNAcentral describes it as "partial 16S ribosomal RNA". It matches the Rfam family "Bacterial small subunit ribosomal RNA", at positions 338 to 795 of the family's 1533-position model. The record is from RNAcentral.
CCUACGGGUGGCAGCAGUGGGGAAUAGUGCACAAUGGGGGAAACCCUGAUGCAGCGACGCCGCGUGAGUGAAGAAGGAUUUCGGGAUGUAAAGCUCUAGCAGCAGGGAAGAAAAUGACGGUACCUGAGUAAGAAGCACCGGCUAACGACGUGCCAGCAGCCGCGGUAAUACGGAGGAUGCGAGCGUGAUCCGGAUUUAUUGGGUGUACAGGGUGCGUAGGCGGAAGGUUAAGUCAGCGGUCCAAUGUCAGUGCUCAACCCCGGCCGGCCGUUGAAACGGGUCUUCUUGAGUGAGCGAGCGGUAUGCGGACUGCGUGGUGUCGCGGUCACAUGCUUCGAUCUCACGCAGAACUCCGAUUGCGAAGGCAGCCUCCCGGCGCUCAUCUGCCGCUGAGGCACGAACGCGUGGGGCUCGAACAGGAUUAGAUACCCGUGUAGUC